Molecule: long non-coding RNA, 737 nt
Filed under: Homo sapiens (human)
Lineage: Eukaryota; Metazoa; Chordata; Mammalia; Primates; Hominidae
Description: long non-coding RNA NONHSAT245999
Source: RNAcentral
CUUCCAAUAGAUGCAUUUCUAAACAUUUUUUCUAAUAUGUAAAUUUGCUGAUCCUUAGUAAUGUUAAUGCUUUGUCUAUUUGUUAUUUUUACCACUGUUGAACAGCAAACUGUUGAGGCUAGGGUUGAUUAUUGAUAAUUUUUAUGUGUUUAGUAAUAACCACAGCAUCAUACGUACAACUGCUUUAAUAAAUCCAAGUUAAGGACUUUGAGGAGAGCAUGUAGCAAGUAUUCAUUUUAACAAAUCAUCACAGACAGUUUCCCUGUUCAAAGCUCCACCAAAAAGCAAGCAUGCAGCAAAGGCAUAGACUGUAUUUAGAGAUGUGGUUUCAUUUAUUCUUGAAGUCCUAUAACCUUGCAUUAUUUAAACACAAAAUCCCACCUAACAUUUGCCAAAUCCAAGUUAAUCUCAAAAACCUCCGAGGACAUUGAGCACAAGCAGAUUACUGUAAGGGCACUGGUGGCAGAUUGUGGUGGAGAGAGGGCUGAGUGACCCAGAGCAAAGCCUGCCCGGGUUACUCGCUGCCACUUCAGGAGAGGGAUUGUAUCAGCUCUCAUUACCUUUUGUCAUGAGGCAGUUCAUAAAUUAAAUAUGAUAUCAUGCAUUAUCUCAAAAUAUUUCUAUAUUAAUUAGAUAAUUCACGAUGUAAAACGUGUUCAUGCAGAAGCAAAGGCGGAUGUAAUAGUCAAGUAUCAGGGAAAAACCCCUUUAGGAUACCCAGACAUUAAAAAUGUAAA